RNAcentral lists this ribosomal RNA (254 nucleotides) under uncultured bacterium. Its description in RNAcentral is "partial 16S ribosomal RNA". It matches the Rfam family "Bacterial small subunit ribosomal RNA", at positions 524 to 776 of the family's 1533-position model. The record is from RNAcentral.
UACGUAGGGGGCUAGCGUUGUCCGGAAUCAUUGGGCGUAAAGCGCGUGUAGGCGGUCCGGUAAGUCCGCUGUGAAAGUCGGGGGCUCAACCCUCGGAUGCCGGUGGAUACUGUCGGGCUUGAGUACGGAAGAGGCGAGUGGAAUUCCUGGUGUAGCGGUGAAAUGCGCAGAUAUCAAGGAGGAACACCAAUUGCGAAGGCAGCUCGCUGGGACGUUACUGACGCUGAGACGCGAAAGCGUGGGGAGCAAACAGG